AUGUCUUCCUCCACCUCCUCCUCCUUCCAGUCGACGCUUAGCGGUGGAGUCACGGAGAAACUCUCCCGCACCAACUACAUCCUAUGGCGGACACAGAUCACUCCGCAACUACGGGGCACCGGCGUCUUCCACUACGUCGACGGCACGGCCACCGAGCCGGCCAAAACCCACACCACCAAAGAUGCUGCUCAGAAAGAAACUAAGGGGCCAAAUCCUCUCCAUCCACUUUGGGUGAAGGAGGACCAGCAGGUCCUAGGAUACCUGCUCCAAAACCUCUCCAAGGAGGUGCUCGUCACGGUGACCGCGGUC
Molecule: ribosomal RNA, 309 nt
Filed under: Triticum aestivum (bread wheat)
Lineage: Eukaryota; Viridiplantae; Streptophyta; Magnoliopsida; Poales; Poaceae
Description: partial small subunit ribosomal RNA
Source: RNAcentral